CCCUUAGAUGUUCUGGGCUGCACGCGCGCUACACUGAAGCUAUCAACACGUUUUCCCUCCCUGAGAAGGGCGGGUAACCUUUUGAAUCAGCUUCGUGGUAGGGAUCGGGGCUUGCAAUUGUUCCCCGUGAACCAGGAAUUCCUAGUAGACGCGAGUCAUAAGCUCGCAUCGAUUAAGUCCCUGCCCUUUGUACACACCGCCCGUCGCUACAACCGAUUGAACGUUUUAGUGAGGCAUUUGGACCGACGCAUCUCAGUUUAACCGCUGGUUUGUGUUGGAAAGACUUCCAAACUUGAGCGUUUAGAGGAAGUAAAAGUCGUAACA
This 324-nucleotide ribosomal RNA is filed under the name uncultured eukaryote. Its description in RNAcentral is "partial 18S ribosomal RNA". It matches the Rfam family "Eukaryotic small subunit ribosomal RNA", at positions 1470 to 1796 of the family's 1831-position model. The record is from RNAcentral.